This 318-nucleotide long non-coding RNA is filed under the name Olea europaea subsp. europaea. The record is from RNAcentral. Lineage: Eukaryota; Viridiplantae; Streptophyta; Magnoliopsida; Lamiales; Oleaceae.
GUAUGAGCAUCAUUUGAAGCUUUCUUUGAUGAAAUAAAUGUGGUCCCCAAUUUACAAUUCACACACAAAUUCAUGAUGCUUCUUCUUUUUCUAUCACUCCAAGCAUCCGUCAUGAUUGAACACCCAUUAUUUUUCCACUAUUCUUCUUGCUUCUUCAAAUUUUCUUUUGUCCUCUCCACCUCUCCCUUCAAAAGUGGCUCCCUUAAUUGGUACUGGGAAGGAGGAAUGUAACCAGGUCCAUAUUGACCAAGAGCUUCAACAAAUAGUUUAAAACUAUCAUUAUCAAUGGCAUUAAAAGGAAUUCCAGCUUCAUAAACC